Molecule: ribosomal RNA, 253 nt
Filed under: uncultured bacterium
Lineage: Bacteria
Description: partial 16S ribosomal RNA
Rfam family: Bacterial small subunit ribosomal RNA
Source: RNAcentral
UACGAACUGUGCAAACGUUAUUCGGAUUCACUGGGCUUAAAGGGUGCGUAGGCGGCCAUGUAAGUAGGGUGUGAAAUCCCCCGGCUAAACCGGGGAACUGCGCCCUAAACUGUAUGGCUGGAGUGAGAUAGGGGUGUGUGGAACUUCCGGUGGAGCGGUGAAAUGUGUUGAUAUCGGAAGGAACGCCGGUGGCGAAAGCGACACACUGGGUCUCAACUGACGCUGAGGCACGAAAGCCAGGGGAGCGAACGGG